AGCUCAGGUGUGCGGUUUGUAUCAGUGGGAGUCAUGUGCAGCCAGUUGAGGGAGCUGUAAAAGAAAUACUGGGUUACUUUGAAAAAAACUAUGCGAAGACUCAAUUUAGCCAGGACAAGGAAAUGAUCUGUCGAGGUCUGCUGCUGCCCAUCCCCACGGACCCCUCACUCAAAGUGGACGUGGGAAAACUCCAGUGUCCUUUGCUGCUGGUUGUAGGAGAAGAUGAUCAGAACUGGCCGGCCCAUGAGUCUGCAAUGGAUGUGAGUUUACUGACAUGACAACAUCCUGUGUGAAUCACAAGCUUGCUCCAGAUGUUUGAAUUCGCAGGAUGACAAAGCUCUACUGAUUGCUGCGAGGAAACAGAAUGGUUACUGUGACAUAUGGCAUUACAACAUGGCCAGAUAAAUAACAAAAUUAGACACUAAAAGUAAAUUCACUUAAAAGAUAGAGUAAUAAUGAAAAAACACUGUGAAAUAAUUAAUCAGCGUAUUAAAACUUAACUGUUUUUCACAUAGUGAAUAGUUAUUGUAAUACUGUCUCAGAUGGAUUUUAUGUCAAAAACCAAGGAAAACAUAAAGGGAUAUCAUAAUGAAUUGAGCAAACUGUUUUCUGAUUUCACGCAAUUACACAC
Molecule: non-coding RNA, 631 nt
Organism: Plectropomus leopardus (leopard coralgrouper)
Lineage: Eukaryota; Metazoa; Chordata; Actinopteri; Perciformes; Serranidae
Source: RefSeq, a predicted model, not a curated record